GAUGGAGCAACACCGCGUGAGUGAAGAAGGGUUUCGGCUCGUAAAGCUCUGUUGUUGGAGAAGAACGUGCGUGAGAGUAACUGUUCACGCAGUGACGGUAUCCAACCAGAAAGUCACGGCUAACUACGUGCCAGCAGACCGCGGUAAUACGUAGGGUGGCAAGCGUUAUCCGGAUUUAUUGGGCGUAAAGCGAGCGCAGGCGGUUGCUUAGGUCUGAUGUGAAAGCCUUCGGCUUAACCGAAGAAGGGCAUCGGAAACCGGGCGACUUGAGUGCAGAAGAGGACAGUGGAACUCCAUGUGUAGCGGUGGAAUGCGUAGAUAUAUGGAAGGACACCAGUGGCGAAGGCGGCUGUCUGGUCUGCAACUGACGCUGAGGCUCGAAAGCAUGGGUAGCGAACAGGAUUAGAUACCCUGGUAGUCCAUGCCGUAAACGAUGAGUGCUAGGUGUUGGAGGGUUUCCGCCCUUCAGUGCCGGAGCUAACGCAUUAAGCACUCCGCCUGGGGAGUACGACCGCAAGGUUGAAACUCAAAGGAAUUGACGGGGCCC
RNAcentral lists this ribosomal RNA (547 nucleotides) under Limosilactobacillus vaginalis. RNAcentral's name for it is "bacterial SSU rRNA". It matches the Rfam family "Bacterial small subunit ribosomal RNA", at positions 385 to 921 of the family's 1533-position model. The record is from RNAcentral. Lineage: Bacteria; Bacillati; Bacillota; Bacilli; Lactobacillales; Lactobacillaceae.